Molecule: ribosomal RNA, 222 nt
Filed under: Entamoeba histolytica
Lineage: Eukaryota; Evosea; Mastigamoebida; Endamoebidae
Description: partial 25S rRNA
Rfam family: Eukaryotic large subunit ribosomal RNA (bases 15-92)
Source: RNAcentral
UGGUAUGUAAGAGACUCCCUUAACUUAAGCAUAUCAAUAAGGAAGGAAGAAAAAUAACAAUGAUUUCUUAAGUAAUGGCGAAUGAAAAAGAAAAAGACCAAGUUGAUAAGAAUGAUAAUUGUAAAAAGGUUAGAAGAUACAGCAAGUAUGAGGCUAGUCUUAAAUUAUUCAGAGGUAACUGAUAGAAAAGCUAUAUUUAAAAGGAUAAUUUAAAUUGAAUUC